UAUAUAUUUUUAUUUUUUUUAGAAAAAACAAAAUCAAUUCAAAUCGAACAAAGAUAGAAAGAAAUAACAAUCAAAUCGACACGACACCAUAUCGCAAAAUAUUACUAAUAUCCAUUUAAAUUUAGAAACGAUAGAUUGACGAAUCAUAUCCCGGGCAUGAGAUCGGAUUGGCCAAUUUUUCCACACAAUCGCAAAUCGUAUCUCGAGCAGGAGAUCGGAUUGACGAUUUUCCGUGCGAUCGCGAAUCAUAUCUCGGGCAGGAGAUUGGAUUGACGACCACAGCACGUUACGAAAUUAGGAAAUAAUUCCUAAUUUAAAAGUUAUUCGGGAACUUAAUAGAUACGAUAAUAUCACUCAAUGAUUCAAACAAAAUUGCAAUAUUUCAAACAAGGAAACAAUAUACUCAAAAUCAAAUUAGAUGAAAUUUUUACCUAAUUUGAAUAUUUGCUUUCCAAGUUUGGACCGGCGGACGGUGGCUCGCAGAUCACGAACAACGCGGCUGGACCCGGUGACGGAGACGGCGUCACAGUGGCCUCGUUUACUCGGACCGAAAGUCACGGAUCGGUGAGGAGAGGCAGCAGCAUCGUCGUCUCUGUCCAGAGUAGCAAGUGUCGUCAGCUCUGUUGGAGUUACUCGCUUGGCUUGUAGGGAUGGAUAUUGGAUUCGGCCAAAGAAAACCUACACAUAUAAAAGCUUAAACUAAAACAAAUAACUGAAUUAGUGGAGGUCUCGAGCAUGUCAGGGAUGCUUGGAAAAUCUGCAAGAAAUUAGUCAAGUGUGGUUUGCAUUGAUCUCCAAGUGUUCCCAAAUGGAUUCCUUUGAGAACCUCUCAAAGUCUGAUGACGGUGGACCUUCUUCCGAAGUAAUCCAGCGAGGUCUUCUCCUGUGGGCAACAGGUAUUGCUAAAGAGACGGUAAACCACCAAUUCGUCAAGACAGCGGCUGCUCGUCAGGCCAACAGGGGUGUGUCGCGGCCGUGGACAGCGGCUUAGUCCAGUUAAGCUCAGAAUCAUUCACUCAAGUCCACCCGCCGCCGGUCCAAUGCAAAUGCAACUAUAUAAGCCUAACUACUAAUUCAAAUGCUCCUAAUCUAUAUGCAAUUUAACUAAUUUUUUGUCUAGGGACAGGGAUCGAUCCCUAAUUUUUAAUGCAAUGAACGACUGACUGAAUCACCAAAAUUUAGGUGUCAACAUCUGUUCAUUGGUUGAC
Long non-coding RNA from Syzygium oleosum, 1208 nucleotides. RefSeq lists it as uncharacterized. The record is from RefSeq and is a predicted model, not a curated record. The transcript is spliced from 2 exons. NCBI's taxonomy places the organism in Eukaryota, Viridiplantae, Streptophyta, Magnoliopsida, Myrtales, Myrtaceae.